UACGGAGGGUGCAAGCGUUGUCCGGAUUCAUUGGGUUUAAAGGGUGCGCAGGCGGGACAUUAAGUCAGGGGUGAAAGACGGUUGCUCAACAAUCGCAGUGCCUUUGAUACUGGUGUUCUUGGGUGACCUUGAGGUAGGCGGAAUGGGUGGUGUAGCGGUGAAAUGCGUAGAUAUCAGGAGGAACACCUGCGGUGUAGACGGCUUACUGGACCGUAACUGACGCUGAGGCACGAAAGCGUGGGUAGCAAACAGG
This 253-nucleotide ribosomal RNA is filed under the name uncultured bacterium. RNAcentral's name for it is "partial 16S ribosomal RNA". It matches the Rfam family "Bacterial small subunit ribosomal RNA", at positions 524 to 776 of the family's 1533-position model. The record is from RNAcentral.